AGUGAACGCUGGCGGUAGGCCUAACACAUGCAAGUCGAACGGCAGCACAGUAAGAGCUUGCUCUUACGGGUGGCGAGUGGCGGACGGGUGAGGGAUACAUCGGAAUCUACUUUUUCGUGGGGGAUAACGUAGGGAAACUUACGCUAAUACCGCAUACGACCUACGGGUGAAAGCAGGGGAUCUUCGGACCUUGCGCGAUUGAAUGAGCCGAUGUCGGAUUAGCUAGUUGGCGGGGUAAAGGCCCACCAAGGCGACGAUCCGUAGCUGGUGUGAGAGGAUGAACAGGCACACUGGGAAUGAGAAACGGUCCCGACUCCCAAGGGAGGGAGGAGUGGGGAAAAUUGGGCAAUGGGGGGAAACCCGAUCCAGCCCAGCCGGGGGGGGGAAAAAGGGCUUUGGGUUUGAAAGCCCUUUUUGUUGGGAAAAAAAACAAGCAGGUUAAACCCCCGGUUUUUGACGGGUACCAAAAAAAAAAGCACCGGCAAAUUUGGG
Molecule: ribosomal RNA, 492 nt
Filed under: uncultured bacterium
Lineage: Bacteria
Description: partial 16S ribosomal RNA
Rfam family: Bacterial small subunit ribosomal RNA
Source: RNAcentral